Molecule: long non-coding RNA, 143 nt
Organism: Carassius auratus (goldfish)
Lineage: Eukaryota; Metazoa; Chordata; Actinopteri; Cypriniformes; Cyprinidae
Exons: 3
Source: RefSeq, a predicted model, not a curated record
UAACAUAGUGUAAAAGAUGAUGAUGAUGAUGAUGAUGCAUGGAAGGACAUUUAUGAGCCAUUACACUGAGACUCAUAGAAGACCCUUGGCAUCUCAUCCCCUUUACCAUGUUUUACACUAUGUUAUUUGUGUUUAUUAUAAAA